AGAAAGUGCUCCCAUUGAGCUUCUGUGGGAGGGGUAGGUGACAUGAAAAAAUGUCAUCAGGCACAGUGGAGAGGGAGAAGGGAGCAACUCCAUCCAAGUCCCUCUGCCUUUCUAGUAACCAACUAUUGAGGAGGGGGUGGCCAUAUGCCCACAGAGUGCUCUGUGUGCCAUCUUUGGUACCCAUACCAUAGGUUUGCCAUCACUGAGCUAGAAGAUCAGGAAAGGCUUCAUGGAAAAAAAUGUUAUUUGAUCUCAAUCUUGAAGUAAAGAGCUUAAAGAAAUUGAGGUCAAAAGAAUGUCAUACAACUAGCAAGUGGCAUGCUGGGACAAGAAGCCCCUUUCUCCAGCCUAAUGAGGAAUGGAACUUCCUGAGGCUGCUCCAGGCUUCUGGGUCCACCUCUUCUGGCUGAGAAAUAGUUCCUUCUAAGAACACUUCACAGUCACUAUUGCUUCAUUCACCUGUGUCCAGCCCAAAACUUCCCAACUAGCUUUCAGUUUCUUUCCUUCUAAGCUAUCAGUACAGAGCUUUAACCUCUUCCUUUCAAAGAAAUGACUCCUCCAUUUUACUCUAAGACUUCUCAAAGUAGCCACUAUCAAUUUCUGUGAACCCACUGAAAUAAUCAAAUAAAACAAGAGUAAAAUUAAAUUCA
RNAcentral lists this long non-coding RNA (650 nucleotides) under Monodelphis domestica (gray short-tailed opossum). Its description in RNAcentral is "lncRNA (ENSMODG00000031625.2)". Lineage: Eukaryota; Metazoa; Chordata; Mammalia; Didelphimorphia; Didelphidae. The record is from RNAcentral.